AGUGAACGCUGGCGGUAGGCCUAACACAUGCAAGUCGAACGGCAGCACAGUAAGAGCUUGCUCUUACGGGUGGCGAGUGGCGGACGGGUGAGGAAUACAUCGGAAUCUACUUUUUCGUGGGGGAUAACGUAGGGAAACUUACGCUAAUACCGCAUACGACCUACGGGUGAAAGCAGGGGAGCUUCGGACCUUGCGCGAUUGAAUGAGGCGAUGUCGGAUUAGCUAGUUGGCGGGGUAAAGGCCCACCAAGGCGACGAUCCGUAGCUGGUCUGAGAGGAUGAUCAGCCACACUGGAACUGAGAGACGGUCCAGACUCCUACGGGAGGCAGCAGUGGGGAAUAUUGGAGAAUGGGCGAAAGCCUGAUCCAGCCAUACCGCGUGGGUGAAGAAGGCCUUCGGGUUGUAAAGCCCUUUUGUUGGGAAAGAAAAGCAGCAGGUUAAUACCCCGCUGUUCUGACGGUACCCAAAGAAUAAGCACCGGCUAACUUCGUG
RNAcentral lists this ribosomal RNA (492 nucleotides) under uncultured bacterium. RNAcentral describes it as "partial 16S ribosomal RNA". It matches the Rfam family "Bacterial small subunit ribosomal RNA", at positions 29 to 507 of the family's 1533-position model. The record is from RNAcentral.